GCUGGGCAUGGUGGCUCACGCCUGUAAUCCCAGCACCUUGGGAGGCUGAGGCAGGCGGAUCACCUGAGGUCAGGAGUUCAAGACCAGCCUGGCCAACAUGGUGAAACUCUGUCUCUA
This 117-nucleotide non-coding RNA is filed under the name Nomascus leucogenys (northern white-cheeked gibbon). Lineage: Eukaryota; Metazoa; Chordata; Mammalia; Primates; Hylobatidae. The record is from Rfam by way of RNAcentral.